Molecule: ribosomal RNA, 1154 nt
Filed under: uncultured organism
Description: bacterial SSU rRNA
Rfam family: Bacterial small subunit ribosomal RNA
Source: RNAcentral
GACGGGUGAGUAACGCGUAUGCAACCUACCUAUUGCAGGAAGAUAGCCCGAGGAAACUCGGAUUAAUAUUCCAUAAUAUCAUUUUUACACAUGUAUUAAUGAUUAAAGCUACGGCGGCAAUAGAUGGGCAUGCGUACCAUUAGCUAGUUGGUGAGGUAACGGCUCACCAAGGUUACGAUGGUUAGGGGGUCUUAAAGGAUGAUCCCCCACACUGGUACUGAGACACGGACCAGACUCCUACGGGAGGCAGCAGUGAGGAAUAUUGGGCAAUGGACGCAAGUCUGACCCAGCCAUGCCGCGUGCAGGAUGACUGCUCUAGUAGUUGUAAACUGCUUUUCUAUUUCAUGAACCCCUCUGACGUGUCAGGGGCUGACAGUAGAAUAGGAAUAAGCAUCGGCUAACUCCGUGCCAGCAGCCGCGGUAAUACGGAGGAUGCAAGCGUUAUCCGGAUUUACUAGGUUUAAAGGGUGCGCAGGCGGGCUUGUAAGUCAGUGGUGAAAUACUGCCGCUUAACGGUAGAAUUGCCAUUGAUACUGCGAGUCUUGAGUAUGGUUGAGGUAGGCGGAAUGCGCAGUGUAGCGGUGAAAUGCCUAGAGAUUGCACAGAACGCCGAUUGCGGAGGCAGCUUACUAAGCCAUAACUGACGCUGAGGCACGAAAGCGUGGGGAGCGAACCGGAUUAGAUACCCUGGUAGUCCACGCUGUAAACGAUGUUCACUCGCUGUUUGCGAUACACAGUAAGCGGCUGAGCGAAAGCAUUAAGUGAACCACCUGGGGAGUACGAUCGCAAGGUUGAAACUCAAAGGAAUUGACGGGGGCCCGCACAAGCGGAGGAACAUGUGGUUUAAUUCGAUGAUACGCGAGGAACCUUACCUGGGCUUAAAUGUAGGCUGCACGAAGUAGAAAUACUUCUUUCCUUCGGGACUGCUUACAAGGUGCUGCAUGGUUGUCGUCAGCUCGUGCCGUGAGGUGUCGGGUUAAGUCCCAUAACGAGCGCAACCCUUAUCGUUAGUUGCUAGCAGGUAAAGCUGAGGACUCUAGCGAGACUGCCACCGUAAGGUGAGAGGAAGGUGGGGAUGACGUCANAUCAGCACGGCCCUUAUGUCCAGGGCUACACACGUGUACCAAUGGCCGGUACAGAGGGAAGCUACCUGG